UACGUAGGGCGCAAGCGUUGUCCGGAAUUAUUGGGCGUAAAGAGCUCGUAGGCGGUUUGUCGCGUCUGCCGUGAAAACCCGAGGCUUAACCUCGGGCCUGCGGUGGAUACGGGCAGACUAGAGGUAGGUAGGGGAGAAUGGAAUUCCCGGUGUAGCGGUGAAAUGCGCAGAUAUCAGGAGGAACACCGGUGGCGAAGGCGGGUCUCUGGGCCGAUACUGACGCUGAGGAGCGAAAGCGUGGGGAGCGAACAGG
RNAcentral lists this ribosomal RNA (253 nucleotides) under uncultured bacterium. RNAcentral describes it as "partial 16S ribosomal RNA". It matches the Rfam family "Bacterial small subunit ribosomal RNA", at positions 524 to 776 of the family's 1533-position model. The record is from RNAcentral.